RNAcentral lists this ribosomal RNA (366 nucleotides) under uncultured Actinomycetes bacterium. RNAcentral's name for it is "bacterial SSU rRNA". It matches the Rfam family "Bacterial small subunit ribosomal RNA", at positions 979 to 1347 of the family's 1533-position model. The record is from RNAcentral. Lineage: Bacteria; Bacillati; Actinomycetota; Actinomycetes.
GCUUGACAUAUACAGGAAUAUGGCAGAGAUGUCAUAGCGGUAAAACGUCUGUAUACAGGUGGUGCAUGGUUGUCGUCAGCUCGUGUCGUGAGAUGUUGGGUUAAGUCCCGCAACGAGUGCAACCCUCGUUCUGUGUUGCCAGCAUUUAGUUGGGGACUCACAGGAGACUGCCGGGGUUAACUCGGAGGAAGGUGGGGAUGACGUCAAAUCAUCAUGCCCCUUAUGUCUUGGGCUGCACGCAUGCUACAAUGGCUGGUACAAACGGCUGCAAUACCGCAAGGUGGAGCGAAUCCGAGAAAGCCAGUCUCAGUUCGGAUUGGGGUCUGCAACUCGACCCCAUGAAGUCGGAGUUGCUAGUAAUCGUAG